Molecule: ribosomal RNA, 253 nt
Filed under: uncultured bacterium
Lineage: Bacteria
Description: partial 16S ribosomal RNA
Rfam family: Bacterial small subunit ribosomal RNA
Source: RNAcentral
UACGUAGGGGGCAAGCGUUGUCCGGAAUCAUUGGGCGUAAAGAGCGUGUAGGCGGCUUGGUAAGUCCGCUGUGAAAGUCCAGGGCUCAACCCUGGAAUGCCGGUGGAAACUGUCAAGCUUGAGUCCGGAAGAGGCGAGUGGAAUUCCUGGUGUAGCGGUGAAAUGCGCAGAUAUCAGGAGGAACACCGAUGGCGAAGGCAGGUCUCUGGGCCAUUACUGACACUGAGAAGCGAAAGCAUGGGGAGCGAACAGG